AUUGAACGCUGGCGGCAUGCCUUACACAUGCAAGUCGAACGGCAGCACGGGAGCAAUCCUGGUGGCGAGUGGCGAACGGGUGAGUAAUAUAUCGGAACGUGCCCAGUCGUGGGGGAUAACGUAGCGAAAGCUACGCUAAUACCGCAUACGAUCUAUGGAUGAAAGCGGGGGAUCGCAAGACCUCGCGCGAUUGGAGCGGCCGAUAUCAGAUUAGGUAGUUGGUGGGGUAAAGGCUCACCAAGCCAACGAUCUGUAGCUGGUCUGAGAGGACGACCAGCCACACUGGAACUGAGACACGGUCCAGACUCCUACGGGAGGCAGCAGUGGGGAAUUUUGGACAAUGGACGCAAGUCUGAUCCAGCCAUUCCGCGUGCAGGAUGAAGGCCCUCGGGUUGUAAACUGCUUUUGUACGGAACGAAAGGUUUCUAUUAAUACUAGGAGCUCAUGACGGUACCGUAAGAAUAAGCACCGGCUAACUACGUGCCAG
This 487-nucleotide ribosomal RNA is filed under the name uncultured bacterium. RNAcentral describes it as "bacterial SSU rRNA". It matches the Rfam family "Bacterial small subunit ribosomal RNA", at positions 30 to 511 of the family's 1533-position model. The record is from RNAcentral.